UGAGAAUGGACGGCUUGGAUGGAAACGGAUGAAAAUGAAUGGCUGAAUGUUGAUGGCUGUGUUCUUAGUGGGCUAGGCCAAGGAAACAAAUUUACUAGCCUUCUUUUCAUAACUGUCCAACUAACUUCAUCUUCUACUUCCAACCACGAACUGAAGAACUCCAUCCCCUAUCCCAUGAAACCAUAGAGAAAAUUUGUAAGGGGGUGUUAAGAGGGGGCUUAGGGGGAUCUCCA
RNAcentral lists this long non-coding RNA (233 nucleotides) under Oryza brachyantha (malo sina). Its description in RNAcentral is "long non-coding RNA (OBRA_LNC001708)". The record is from RNAcentral. Lineage: Eukaryota; Viridiplantae; Streptophyta; Magnoliopsida; Poales; Poaceae.